UCUGAGGUCCGCCAGCAACACUUCAAUCAAGCACAAGGUUCUCAAAUCGUGUUAUUGAAAUGGGACUCUCUUUCAUUUGCAGAUUGCAAUGAAGGACAAGUGGAAGGGUGACAGCUUGAAGCAGGGAGUCUCCUGUGUUUGUGGAAGUUCCCUGCAUGCUUCAGAAUGCUGGAGAGUCAUCUCUGCUGAGAUGUAAGCUUCACUAAAUCACUGAAUCAAUCUUCUUCCCAGGAAUAUACAGGAUGAUCCACAGAUAAGGAAUCUACAGUCGGCAAAUGGAAGAGGGUGACGGCGCUAGAAACUCAGUUGAGCAGCCCCAAACUAUCCAGAAUGUACACAUAGUAACAACACAGGAAGGGCAGUCUACUCAUCCUUCUGGGAGCCGGAGAACUGCUGCCGAACACCCGGCCGUGGAUUCCCCAUUGCUACCCCAGGUUCCUGUAGGCGAGAAUGUUACUGGGGAGCGAGCGCAAUGCUCUGCGAGAGGAGAACCAGCUAUACAUCUUCCCCCACCCAUUCAGGAUUCGACGCUGGCAACAUGUCAGCACAUUGUUGGUCUCCUUGGACAAAUCACUGAUCAGCAGGACAGCAUCAUGAGAGAACUGCGGGUCAUGCGCAGAGAGAUGCGGCUUUUGAAAGGUGAACAGCGCCGGACCACUGCCAG
RNAcentral lists this long non-coding RNA (664 nucleotides) under Podarcis muralis (Common wall lizard). RNAcentral's name for it is "lncRNA (ENSPMRG00000008428.1)". Lineage: Eukaryota; Metazoa; Chordata; Lepidosauria; Squamata; Lacertidae. The record is from RNAcentral.